CUAAAGAACCCAAAUAUCUAAACGGAGAAAUUCAAUACUACCGUUAAACGUAGUGUGCACUUUUCUCUUAGUAAGACGCCGUGAUCCAUUAGAAAUUGAUGCAUGUUUAAGCAGUGCAUAUUGGGUCAUCAAUAGGCCAAUAUGAAGUUUAUUCGGAACAAAUGGCAUAAUCUUUUUACGGUUGUGUGUAUUGUCUGGUAAGCAUAUUGUGUUUUCCUGUAAUGACUGUCUGAUGGAUUUUAAAGAUUAUAUUAUUGAUGCUAUACGCAUCACAUGCUUUAUUGUGUGUUUAUUUGAUAUAUAUCUGAUCAACGGUGGUUAAAUUUGGGAUACCUUUUGGACCCGUCUUGAAACACGGACCAAGGAGUCUAUCUAGUAUGCGAGUAAAUGGGUAGUUUAUGAAACCUAUUUGCAUAAGAAACUUGACUGUUAUUUAAUGGGAUUACGAUAUAUGUUUUUGUUACGAAAAUAUAUUUCUUCCAUCCCGGAGUAUUUUCAUCAACAUAUGGCCCGGUUAAAAAGGUUAUAUGGAAAAUAUAUCAUGAGCACACUGGAUACGACCCGAAAGAUGGUGAACUAUGCCUGAUCAGGUUGAAGUCAGGGGAAACUCUGAUGGAGGACCGAAACAGUUCUGACGUGCAAAUCG
This 646-nucleotide ribosomal RNA is filed under the name Skusella sp. 2 SRM-2010. RNAcentral's name for it is "eukaryotic LSU rRNA". It matches the Rfam family "Eukaryotic large subunit ribosomal RNA", at positions 386 to 900 of the family's 3401-position model. The record is from RNAcentral. Lineage: Eukaryota; Metazoa; Arthropoda; Insecta; Diptera; Chironomidae.